GGAGCCGUAGCGAAAGCGAGUUUUAACUGAGCGUUCAGUUACUUGACGUAGACCCGAAACCGGGCGACCUACCCAUGAGCAGGAUGAAGCGAAAGUAAAAUUUCGUGGAGGUCCGAACCCACGAGCGUUGAAAAGCUCGGGGAUGACUUGUGGGUAGCGGUGAAAUUCCAAUCGAGCCCGGAGAUAGCUGGUUCUCCCCGAAAUAGCUUUAGGGCUAGCCUCAAGGUGAGAGAUACGGAGGUAGAGCACUGAAUGUCCUAGGGGGUAUUGCACCUACCGAAGACUAUCAAACUCCGAAUGCCGUCAUCUUAUACUUGGGAGUCAGACUGUGGGUGAUAAGAUUCAUAGUCGAAAGGGCAACAGCCCAGAUCGUCAGCUAAGGUCCCUAAAUGUAAGUUAAGUGGUAAAGGAUGUGGGAUUGCACAGACAACCAGGAUGUUGGCUUAGAAGCAGCCACUCAUUCAAAGAGUGCGUAAUAGCUCACUGGUCGAGUGAUCCUGCGCCGAAGAUUUCCGGGGCUAAAACUUACUACCGAAGCUACGGCAUCAGUAAUGAUGGGUAGGGGAGCUUCCCAUACGGGUUGAAGCAUGACCGUAAGGACAUGUGGACAGUAGGGGAGUGAGAAUGUUGGCAUGAGUAGCGAGAUGUGGGUGAGAAUCCCACAGGCCGUAAACCCAAGGUUUCCAGGGGAAGGUUCGUCCGCCCUGGGUUAGUCGGGACCUAAGCUGAGGCCGAAAGGCGUAGGUGAUGGACAACAGGUUGAUAUUCCUGUACUACCGAUAACCGUUUGAGAGAAGGGAUGACACAGUAGGAUAAGCUAAGCACACUGUUGGUUAUGUGUGCCCAAGCAUUGAGGCAGUCAAAGUAGGCAAAUCCGCUUUGAUAAUGCUGGGAUGUGAUGGGGAGCGAAAUUUAGUAGCGAAGUAGCUGAUUUCACACUGUCAAGAAAAGUCUCUAUCGAGGUUAAAGGUACCCGUACCGCAAACCGACACAGGUGGGUGAGGAGAGUAUCCUAAGGCCAGCGAGAGAACUGUUGUUAAGGAACUCGGCAAAAUGACCCCGUAACUUAGGGAUAAGGGGUGCCACCAUCAGGUGGCCGCAGAGAAUAGGCCCAUGCGACUGUUUACCAAAAACAUAGGUUUCUGCUAAGUCGCAAGACGAUGUAUAGGAGCUGACGCCUGCCCGGUGCUGGAAGGUUAAGGGGAUCUGUUAGAG
This 1215-nucleotide ribosomal RNA is filed under the name Clostridioides difficile. Its description in RNAcentral is "bacterial LSU rRNA". It matches the Rfam family "Bacterial large subunit ribosomal RNA", at positions 662 to 1895 of the family's 2925-position model. Lineage: Bacteria; Bacillati; Bacillota; Clostridia; Peptostreptococcales; Peptostreptococcaceae. The record is from RNAcentral.